CCAGAGGUGUGCGAAAGUUAUCUUAACUGAAGUUAACGGAUCGUUAACGCGUUAAAGUCGGGACGCGUUAAGCUAUUUCUUAGCAACAUUUCUUUCAGUUAACGGGCAGUUAACGGCGACAUGAAAACGCCAAAAUUUGGAGGAGAAUUUAACGCGUUAAAAUUUUUAACAAAGUUAAACUUGAAUGGAAAGCACAUCAUGCAUAAAUAAAGAAAAUUUGUGGGCAUCUCGGGCUCUCGGCAAUGUUCUAAAUGUUACGUAUAAUAAAUUUAAAUGUGUAAAGCCGGUAAUACUGUUAUUUGUAUUCAAAUUCAAGUCAGAAUCGGAGUCAGACGACUAUUCGUCGUAGUCAUUCGUACUUCGUAAUUCGUGACUUCGUGGUUCGUUCCUCGUAGAUUGUAGGUCGUAUCUUGUUAUGAGUCGUGUAUUGCUGGCGUCAUUUAAUUUGGUAUUUGAAUCGGAAUUUGACGUACUUUUAGGAGCCUUGAAAACUAAAGCACAAAGACAAACUUCGAAAGUAAUUUGAAGUAUACGUAUUGGUUUUCGUGAAGAUCAAAAGAAUUUUGAUGUGAUUCUUUCCCGCUCACAGAAAUUGGUGAAAGAAUGGGUCGAACAAAAAAGACUGUAUGUAGUCCUUCACUGACUAAGAGCUCAAAGGCUAGCAAUACCAAAUCUAACAAUGACAAAGAUCUGACUUCUUCACUCAACGAAGCAAUUGACCAACCUGAAAGUGGAAAGUCAGCUUCUAAUAUUGAACCUGAACCUUCAGCAAACGACACAAAUUUGAAGUCAUGUUGGGUUUGAAAUCAUUUCUUGCAAAUUGAGUCAAAGCCAGGAAAGUCUGCAACCAUUGCAAAAAGCUGAUGACAAUUUCAGUGUCAUCAAUGAAGUACCAUUUAAAUGUCAAACACAGACAAAAAAUCCAUGAAGAUCAACCAAAAAUCACAGAUUACAGAACAAUGACAAAAGAAAAGAAAUUGAAACUCGAUACCGCAAUUGCAAACUUCAUUGUUCAGGACCUACAUGCAGUAAAUGUUGUGAUGGGGAAAGACUUUCGAAAUUGAAUGAAAGUAGCAGUUGGGCAGCAGUAUCAUGUUCCGCAUCGAACGACUUUUAGUCGUUAUCGAAUUCCCAAAAUGUACGAGGCAUGUAAGCUUGCCGUCAUAGAAGAAUAUAAACCAGUUGAGUUUGUGUGUUGCACAACUGACAUGUGGGUUGACAACUUUAAACACCUGGCCUACAUGACUCUGACUGCCCACGUCCUCUGCCUCUACGUAAAUUUUGUUAGUCAUGAUAAACCAAGAUCUCAAUAAAAGCCAUAUGGCCGUUUAAGCGUUAUAUAUCUUUAAAAUUUAGUUUUAAAAAGCGGUCUAAAACAGGUCAAAACCAACAGAAAAAUAACACGUUAAAUAUUUUAACUCAGUUAAUUUCCUUUAACUGGUUAAUUUCCGUUAACUGUAGUUAACUGGCGAGAAAAACACUUUAACGCGUUAAGGCAAAUGAAAAAUGCAUUUUAACGCGUUAAGGAUUUUUUGACAAACGCACACCUCUGGUUCGUGCCCUCGUGUGUGUGGCAGGUAGAAAGGCUCCCCUUUACCGACUUUCAAAAAGGCUAGAAAUAAAACUGCUUAAUCAACUAAUCUAACGUGUUCCUUCUCUUAUUUUCCUAAAGGCUCACUCUCCAGUAAGUGUUGCAUCAACAUUGAAGUGGGGAAACAGAUUCCGUCCCCACAAACGGCGUUCCCUAGUUUUGUCAUUGACUAUCGCUUUCAGAAAUGAUCGUCGAAGAAAUAAUCGUGUGGCAUGUCUGCCCUCCACCGAUAAGGCGAUAAUGCAAUCGUGUGAAAAGAAAUAAAAACUUCAGCUUGUACGUUUUAUUUUUCACCGCAUAACAAUAUUUUCAUUCAAGUUCAACAAAAGACGAAAUAAAAAAAUAAUAAACGAUGUCAUGUACCAUGAAAAGCGGAA
Molecule: long non-coding RNA, 1968 nt
Filed under: Daphnia magna
Lineage: Eukaryota; Metazoa; Arthropoda; Branchiopoda; Diplostraca; Daphniidae
Description: uncharacterized LOC123476026
Source: RNAcentral